CGACGCCGCGUGAGGGAUGAAGGUCUUCGGGUUGUAAACCUCUGUCAGAAGGGAAGAAACUACUUUGUGCUAAUCAGCAGUGUACUGACGGUACCUUCAAAGGAAGCACCGGCUAACUCCGUGCCAGCAGCCGCGGUAAU
RNAcentral lists this ribosomal RNA (140 nucleotides) under uncultured bacterium. RNAcentral's name for it is "partial 16S ribosomal RNA". It matches the Rfam family "Bacterial small subunit ribosomal RNA", at positions 392 to 524 of the family's 1533-position model. The record is from RNAcentral.